This 102-nucleotide small RNA is filed under the name Marmota monax (woodchuck). Lineage: Eukaryota; Metazoa; Chordata; Mammalia; Rodentia; Sciuridae. The record is from RNAcentral.
GCCAGGUGUGGUGGUGCACACCUGUAAUUCCAGAGGCUCUGGAGGCUGAGGCAGGAGUCUUAAAUGAGGUCAGCCUCAGCAACUUGUGAGACCCUGUCUCAA